RNAcentral lists this ribosomal RNA (900 nucleotides) under uncultured Bacillota bacterium. Its description in RNAcentral is "bacterial SSU rRNA". It matches the Rfam family "Bacterial small subunit ribosomal RNA", at positions 58 to 936 of the family's 1533-position model. Lineage: Bacteria; Bacillati; Bacillota. The record is from RNAcentral.
CAUGUCGAACGCGAAAGUUCCCUUCGGGGGGCAAGUAGAGUGGCGCACGGGUGAGUAACACGUAGGUAAUCUACCUUUGGAUUGGGAAUAACCACCGGAAACGGUGGCUAAUACCGAAUAAUGCAGCGGCACCUAAUGGUGACAGUUGUUAAAGCGGGGGAUCGCAAGACCUCGCGUCUGAAGAGGAGCCUGCGGCAGAUUAGCUAGUUGGUAAGGUAACGGCUUACCAAGGCGAUGAUCUGUAGCCGGCCUGAGAGGGCGGUCGGCCACACUGACACUGACAUACGGGUCAGACUCCUACGGGAGGCAGCAGUCGGGAAUUUUGGGCAAUGGGCGAAAGCCUGACCCAGCAACGCCGCGUGAAGGAUGAAAUCCUUCGGGAUGUAAACUUCGCAAGAACGGGAAGAAUAAGUAAGAGUUAAUAUCUCUUAUGAUGACGGUACUGUUUGUAAGCUCCGGCUAACUCCGUGCCAGCAGCCGCGGUAAUACGGGGGGAGCAAGCGUUGUUCGGAUUUACUGGGCGUAAAGGGCGCGUAGGCGGCACCGCAAGUCGACUGUGAAAUCUCCGGGCUUAACCCGGAAAGGUCAGCCGAUACUGCGGGGCUAGAGUGCAGAAGGGGCAACUGGAAUUCUCGGUGUAGCGGUGAAAUGCGUAGAUAUCGAGAGGAACACCUGCGGCGAAGGCGGGUUGCUGGGCUGACACUGACGCUGAUGCGCGAAAGCUAGGGGAGCGAACGGGAUUAGAUACCCCGGUAGUCCUAGCCUUAAACGAUGAAUGCUUGGUGUCUGGGGUUUUAUAGUCCCCGGGUGCCGUCGCUAACGCUUUAAGCAUUCCGCCUGGGGAGUACGGUCGCAAGGCUGAAACUCAAAGGAAUUGACGGGGACCGCACAAGCGGUGGA